This 31-nucleotide non-coding RNA is filed under the name Mus musculus (house mouse). Lineage: Eukaryota; Metazoa; Chordata; Mammalia; Rodentia; Muridae. The record is from RNAcentral.
UGCCCAAAUACUACGGCGUCUGGUCCCCUCC